Molecule: transfer RNA, 76 nt
Filed under: Alloprevotella rava F0323
Lineage: Bacteria; Pseudomonadati; Bacteroidota; Bacteroidia; Bacteroidales; Prevotellaceae
Description: tRNA-Lys
Rfam family: tRNA
About the family: Transfer RNA (tRNA) molecules are approximately 80 nucleotides in length. Their secondary structure includes four short double-helical elements and three loops (D, anti-codon, and T loops).
Source: RNAcentral
GCACUGCUAGCUCAGUUGGUAGAGCAACUGACUCUUAAUCAGUGGGUCCAGGGUUCGAAUCCCUGGCGGUGUACAA